Molecule: long non-coding RNA, 518 nt
Organism: Arabidopsis thaliana (thale cress)
Lineage: Eukaryota; Viridiplantae; Streptophyta; Magnoliopsida; Brassicales; Brassicaceae
Product: other RNA
Exons: 1
Source: RefSeq
ACAAACAAGCACCGUAACAUACUCCUGAAACAAGCUGAUUCAUCAGUAAACACAAACUUACCUGAUCUUCACACAAAAACACUCAUCAACCUGCAAUUUCUGCUCCCACGGAUCAAUUUUACAAUUCAACAAGAUGAAACCAGUCCACACAAAGUGAUUACAUACACAUAGCCCUAUUACGGAUCCUGUAACUCAGAUUUUCCAAAAUCAUUAUGCAACAUAACCUCUACAAGAGCUGCUAAACGAUAAUCGAUGAUAAUUUGCAUCGAACAAUCAAAACGAUAAGGGAAAAAGUAGGUGAGAAGCGCCAAUAUCAAAUCCAUCGGGUAAAAUUCACAUAAAUUAGAGAGACGACGAAGAUAAUGUUACUUCUGCGAGCAGAGAAGAGUGCGUACAAGAGCUCACAAGUAAAAACCAAGGAAAUCGAACUAAACACCUAAGAAUCGUCUCUAGAACAAAGAGGAAGAUGAAAAUAAAAAGAAGAAGAUGACGAACAGAGAGGUCGUCGGAGUAAUCGU